Molecule: ribosomal RNA, 506 nt
Filed under: uncultured bacterium
Lineage: Bacteria
Description: bacterial SSU rRNA
Rfam family: Bacterial small subunit ribosomal RNA
Source: RNAcentral
AUGAACGCUAGCGGCAGGCCUAACACAUGCAAGUCGAGGGGCAGCACAAAAAGAGUUUACUCUUUUGGUGGCGACCGGCGCACGGGUGCGUAACGCGUAUGCAACCUACCCUGAACAGGGGGAUAACACUGGGAAACUGGUACUAAUACCCCAUAACAUCAGAUGAGGCAUCUCAUUUGGUUAAAAACUCCGGUGGUUCAGGAUGGGCAUGCGUUGUAUUAGGUAGUUGGUGAGGUAACGGCUCACCAAGCCUACGAUACAUAGGGGGACUGAGAGGUUAGCCCCCCACACUGGUACUGAGACACGGACCAGACUCCUACGGGAGGCAGCAGUGAGGAAUAUUGGUCAAUGGACGCAAGUCUGAACCAGCCAUGCCGCGUGCAGGAAGACGGCUCUAUGAGUUGUAAACUGCUUUUAUAUGAGGAUAAACCCAGGUACGUGUACCUGGUUGAAGGUACCAUAUGAAUAAGGACCGGCUAACUCCGUGCCAGCAGCCGCAGUAAUAC